GACGAACGCUGGCGGCGUGCUUAACACAUGCAAGUCGAGCGGUAAGGCCCUUUCGGGGGUACACGAGCGGCGAACGGGUGAGUAACACGUGGGUGACCUGCCCUCAGCUCUGGGAUAAGCCUGGGAAACCGGGUCUAAUACUGGAUAUGACUCCAUGACGCAUGUUGUGGGGUGGAAAGCCUUGUGCGGCUGAGGAUGGGCCCGCGGCCUAUCAGCUUGUUGGUGGGGUGAUGGCCUACCAAGGCGACGACGGGUAGCCGGCCUGAGAGGGCGACCGGCCACACUGGGACUGAGACACGGCCCAGACUCCUACGGGAGGCAGCAGUGGGGAAUCUUGCGCAAUGGGCGAAAGCCUGACGCAGCGACGCCGCGUGAGGGAUAACGGCCU
Molecule: ribosomal RNA, 388 nt
Filed under: uncultured bacterium
Lineage: Bacteria
Description: bacterial SSU rRNA
Rfam family: Bacterial small subunit ribosomal RNA
Source: RNAcentral